RNAcentral lists this ribosomal RNA (315 nucleotides) under Triticum aestivum (bread wheat). RNAcentral describes it as "partial small subunit ribosomal RNA". Lineage: Eukaryota; Viridiplantae; Streptophyta; Magnoliopsida; Poales; Poaceae. The record is from RNAcentral.
AUGCCAUUCAUUUCUAACCAUUUCACCAAUAGUAUUGUGUGUGGCCUGUGGGUCUUUUGUGGACACAAUUUAUUCCAGUUGUUUCAAGGACCGAAUUGGGAUCAGUGUUCACUGGAAAUUGGGUUGGUACUUGCUGGUGUGGUGCACCAUUUGCACAGGUUUUUACUUAAACAUGUACUAUUGGAAUCCACAUCUCUAUGGUCCAAAAGCAGGGGAUCUUUUGAUGCAUCAAAACUUUGUCUCAUGUUACAUCGAAGUAUGAGAUUGGCCAUUAUCAACCAUCAGCUGUUCUAUAUUCUAAUAGCCGUCACCUAA